CCUACGGGGGGCUGCAGUAGGGAAUAUUGCGCAAUGGGGGAAACCCUGACGCAGCAACGCCGCGUGAGUGAGGAAGGUCUUCGGAUUGUAAAACUCUGUUCUUAGAGAAAAAUGUGCUUGGAGCUAAUACCCCAAGUAUUGAUGGUAUCUAAGGAGAAAGGACCGGCUAACUUCGUGCCAGCAGCCGCGGUAAUACGAAGGGUCCAAGCGUUGUUCGGAAUCAUUGGGCGUAAAGCGCGCGCAGGCGGAUCAGUAAGUCAGGUGUGAAAUCUCGG
RNAcentral lists this ribosomal RNA (275 nucleotides) under uncultured Peredibacter sp. RNAcentral's name for it is "partial 16S ribosomal RNA". It matches the Rfam family "Bacterial small subunit ribosomal RNA", at positions 338 to 605 of the family's 1533-position model. The record is from RNAcentral. Lineage: Bacteria; Pseudomonadati; Bdellovibrionota; Bacteriovoracia; Bacteriovoracales; Bacteriovoracaceae.